Molecule: ribosomal RNA, 660 nt
Filed under: Chrysogorgia artospira
Lineage: Eukaryota; Metazoa; Cnidaria; Anthozoa; Scleralcyonacea; Chrysogorgiidae
Description: partial 28S ribosomal RNA
Rfam family: Eukaryotic large subunit ribosomal RNA
Source: RNAcentral
AAACCGUUGGAAGGGAAGCGAAUGGAGUCGGCAAUUCGCCUCGCCUGAUUCAUCCACUCUCGUUCGGCAACGUGCUCUCUCGCGACCUGUCCCCAGGCGCGAAUUGCACGGUCGCGGCGCGAGUGUGGUGCACUUCGGCGGGCGAACGUCAACGCCAGUUAACCGCGAGUUACAAAGCUGCAAGCACGGUACAUUCUUCGGAAUGGGUAAGUCUUGCCUGCGCACGACUCGCGCGAGACUGUCCUAUGUCGCAGCGUGUCCCUUCCCGGCUUGCCGGUACAGGCUGCUGCCUUUGUUGUCGAUCUGGUGGUGCUGUCCGGCGGACGGCUGUGCGCCUGUGCGUCGGAGGUGCCGCUGAUCAACUGACCUAGCCGCAGACACGACGCGCUCAGUACGUUGACCGACUUGCGUCUCCAUCCGACCCGUCUUGAAACACGGACCAAGGAGUCCAACAUGUGCGCAAGUCUCAGGGUGAUCGAAACCCGUCGCGGGCGCAAUGAAAGUAAAUGCGGUCUCGCGGCUGCAGAGAUGAGAAGCGUGCAUCAUGUGUGCGCCACAUCAUCGACCGACCUGUUCUACUCUUAGAAAGGUUUGAGUUAGAGCGCACCUGUUGGGACCCGAAAGAUGGUGAACUAUGCCUGAAUAGGGCGAAGCCAGCGG